UGAUGUUGUUGUGGCAGUGCCUCACUGGU
This 29-nucleotide non-coding RNA is filed under the name Mus musculus (house mouse). The record is from RNAcentral. Lineage: Eukaryota; Metazoa; Chordata; Mammalia; Rodentia; Muridae.